AUUGAACGCUGGCGGCAGGCCUAACACAUGCAAGUCGAGCGGAUGAAGGGAGCUUGCUCCUGGAUUCAGCGGCGGACGGGUGAGUAAUGCCUAGGAAUCUGCCUGGUAGUGGGGGAUAACGUCCGGAAACGGGCGCUAAUACCGCAUACGUCCUGAGGGAGAAAGUGGGGGAUCUUCGGACCUCACGCUAUCAGAUGAGCCUAGGUCGGAUUAGCUAGUUGGUGGGGUAAAGGCCUACCAAGGCGACGAUCCGUAACUGGUCUGAGAGGAUGAUCAGUCACACUGGAACUGAGACACGGUCCAGACUCCUACGGGAGGCAGCAGUGGGGAAUAUUGGACAAUGGGCGAAAGCCUGAUCCAGCCAUGCCGCGUGUGUGAAGAAGGUCUUCGGAUUGUAGAGCACUUUAAGUUGGGAGGAAGGGCAGUAAGUUAAUACCUUGCUGUUUUGACGUUACCAACAGAAUAGGCACCGGCUAACUUCGUG
This 484-nucleotide ribosomal RNA is filed under the name uncultured bacterium. RNAcentral describes it as "partial 16S ribosomal RNA". It matches the Rfam family "Bacterial small subunit ribosomal RNA", at positions 30 to 507 of the family's 1533-position model. The record is from RNAcentral.